Molecule: long non-coding RNA, 514 nt
Filed under: Lepidothrix coronata (blue-crowned manakin)
Lineage: Eukaryota; Metazoa; Chordata; Aves; Passeriformes; Pipridae
Description: lncRNA (ENSLCOG00000013042.1)
Source: RNAcentral
ACUAAAAUUUAUUAUAUAGAACUGGUCUAGAAUAUUUUAUAGGUAAAACAAUUUUUUUUGUUUUAGUUUGAACUCGACAUUGGAUCCUCCUCAAAAUUCCAUCUUUAAUUUCUAUCUUCAAUGAGUAAUGGAGAACAUUUUGAAAUAUAACAAAGGUUUUCUAUCCUGUUCAUCACCAGAAAUAAUCCCUUAACAAAAAACUCUUCCGUAGAUUGUGAAGAUCAGAUCUGAUUCAGAAAGGCAGGGUGGCAGGUAUGCAGAGAAUCAUAUAAUCUAUCUUGAUGAUACAAUUCCACUGAGUCCUGGCUAUAACACUUUCGAUGUCCACAUCACUAGUUGCAGUCCUACAAGCACGGAAGGGUGGAUGCUGUGGGGGGGUCCAGGCAGCUCUGUGGAACAGUCUCCAAUGGGCUAGUAGGAUGAGAAGGUCCAGGGGUAGUUUGGGAAUCGAGGAGAAACAUCACCUCUCAAGACGGUAAACCUACUGAAAAGACUAUUCAAACUCCAGAAGGAC